CCCUUAGAUGUUCUGGGCUGCACGCGCGCUACACUGACGCACGCAACAGGUGCCUGCUCCGAGAGGACUGGGUAAUCAUUUGAGUGUGCGUCGUGAUGGGGAUAGAAUAUUGUAAUUAUUACUCUUCAACGAGGAAUUCCUAGUAAGCGCCAGUCAGCAGCUUGCGCUGAUUACGUCCCUGCCCUUUGUACACACCGCCCGUCGCUCCUACCGAUGGGUGAUCCGGUGAAUGAUUCGGACUUCAGCGGCUCCCCUGGGGUGCGCCGGAGAAAGUUUUGUGAACCUUAUCACUUGGAGGAAGGAGAAGUCGCAACA
This 315-nucleotide ribosomal RNA is filed under the name uncultured eukaryote. RNAcentral describes it as "partial 18S ribosomal RNA". It matches the Rfam family "Eukaryotic small subunit ribosomal RNA", at positions 1470 to 1796 of the family's 1831-position model. The record is from RNAcentral.